Molecule: ribosomal RNA, 1478 nt
Filed under: metagenome
Description: bacterial SSU rRNA
Rfam family: Bacterial small subunit ribosomal RNA
Source: RNAcentral
AGCGGUGUGGAUUAGGCAUGCAAGUCGUGCGCGAAAGCCUUCGGGCGAGUAGAGCGGCGAAAGGGUGAGUAACACGUAACCAACCUACCCCAUAGAUUGGAAUAGCCUCCGGAAACGGUGGGUAAUGCCGAAUGGCCCCAGUAGAAGGCAUCUUCCGCUGGGUAAACGGUGGCUUCGGCUGCUGCUGUGGGAGGGGGUUGCGGGCUAUCAGCUUGUUGGUGAGGUAAUGGCUCACCAAGGCUAUGACGGCUAGCCGGUCUGAGAGGAUGGUCGGUCACACUGGGACUGAGACACUGCCCAGACUCCUACGGGAGGCUGCAGUCGAGAAUCUUCCGCAAUGGGCGAAAGCCUGACGGAGCGACACCGCGUGCAGGAUGAAGGCCUUAGGGUCGUAAACUGCUGUCACGCUAUAGGAAUGGCGCAGGAUUAACAGUUGUGCGUUUGACCAAAGCGAGAGGAAGCACCGGCUAACUCCGUGCCAGCAGCCGCGGUAAUACGGAGGGUGCAAACGUUGUUCGGAAUCACUGGGCAUAAAGGGCUCGUAGGCGGUCCAUUAAGUCAGGUGUGAAAUCCCCCGGCUCAACCGGGGAACUGCACUUGAUACUGGUGGACUAGAGUAUGGUUGGGGUGAGCGGAACUCCUGGUGGAGCGGUGAAAUGCGUAGAUAUCAGGAGGAACACCGGUGGCGAAAGCGGCUCACUGGACCAUUACUGACGCUGAGGAGCGAAAGCUAGGGGAGCGAACGGGAUUAGAUACCCCGGUAGUCCUAGCCGUAAACGAUGUGCACUAGGCAGGGGAGGCACCUAUGGCCCUCUCUGCCGUAGCUAAUGUGUUAAGUGCACCGCCUGGGGAGUACGCUCGCAAGAGUAAAACUCAAAGGAAUUGACGGGGGAUCACACAAGCGGUGGAGCAUGUGGUUUAAUUCGAAUCAACGCGAAGAACCUUACCUGGCCUUGACAUGUAUGGAUUAGUCCUGUGAAAGCAGGGUGACAGCCCUUCGGGGUCGGAACAUACACAGGUGUUGCAUGGCUGUCGUCAGCUCUCGUGAGAUGUUGGGUUAAGUCCCGUAACGAGCGAAACCCUUAUCGUUAGUUGCCAGCGCGUAAUGGCGGGGACUCUAGCGAGACUGCCGUUGUUAAGACGGAGGAAGGUGGGGACGACGUCAAGUCAUCAUGGCCCUUAUGGCCAGGGCUACACACGUGCUACAAUGGUUUGUACAAAGGGUUCCGAGACCGCAAGGUGGAGGCAAUCCCAUAAAGCAAACCCCAGUUCGGAUUGCAGGCUGAAAUUCGCCUGCAUGAAGUUGGAAUCGCUAGUAAUCGCGUAUCAGCCAUGACGCGGUGAAUAUGUUCCUGAUCCUUGUACACACCGCCCGUCAAGCCACGAAAGCGGGGAGCGCUCGAAGUCGCUUUGUCUAACCUUCGGGAGGACAGCGCCGAAAGCGAGUUCCGUGAUUGGGACUAAGUCGUAACAAGGUA